CUGGGUGAUGUCCUAAUAGCUGGGCUGGGUGAUGUAAUAAUAGCUGGUUUGGGUGAUGUCCUAAUAGCUGGGCUGGGUGAUGUCCUAAUAGCUGGGCCGGGUGAUGUCCUAAUAGCUGGGCUGGGUGAUGUCCUAAUAGCUGGGCUAGGCUGGGUGAUGUCCUAAUAGCUGGGCUGGGUGAUGUCCUAAUAGCUGGGCGGGGUGAUGUCCUAAUAGCUGGGUUGUGCUAGGUGAUGUCCUAAAAGCUGGGCUGGGUGAUGUCCUAAUAGCUGGGCUGGGUGAUGUCCUAAUAGCUGGGCUGGGUGAUGUCCUAAUAGCUGGGCUGGGUGAUGUCCUAAUAGCUGGGUUGGGUGAUGUCCUAAUAGCUGGGCUGGGUGAUGUCCUAAUAUCUGGGCUAGGCUGGGUGAUGUCCUAAUAGCUGGGCUGGGUGAUGUCCUAAUAGCUGGGCUAGGUGAUGUCCUAAAAGCUGGGCUGGGUGAUGUCCUAAUAGCUGGGCUAGGCUGGGUGAUGUCCUAAUAGCUGGGCUGGGUGAUGUCCUAAUAGCUGGGCUGGGUGAUGUCCUAAUAGCUGGGUUGUGCUAGGUGAUGUCCUAAAAGCUGGGCUGGGUGAUGUCCUAAUAGCUGGGUUGUGCUAGGUGAUGUCCUAAAAGUUGGUUUGGGUGAUGUCCUAAUAGCUGGGCUGGGUAAUGUCCUAAUAGCUGGGCUGGGUGAUGUCCUAAUAGCUGGGCUGGGUGAUGUCCUAAUAGCUGGGCUGUCUGAUGUCCUAAUAGCUGGGCUGGGUGAUGUCCUAAUAGCUGGGCUGGGUGAUGUCCUAAUAGCUGGGCUGGGUGAUGUCCUAAUAGCUGGGCUGUCUGAUGUCCUAAUAGCUGGGCUGGGUGAUGUCCUAAUAGCUGGGCUGGGUAAUGUCCUAAUAGCUGGGCUGGGUGAUGUCCUAAUAGCUGGGCUGGGUGAUGUCCUAAUAGCUGGGCUGGCUGGGUGAUGUCCUAAUAGCUGGGCUGGGUGAUGUCCUAAUAGCUGAGCUGGGUGAUGUCCUAAUAGCUGGGCUGGGUGAUGUCCUAAUAGCUGGGCUGGGUGAUGUCCUAAUAGCUGGGCUGGGUGAUGUCCUAAUAGCUGGGCUGGGUGAUGUCCUAAUAGCUGGGCUGGGUGAUGUCCUAAUAGCUGGGCUGGGCUGGGUGAUGUCCUAAUAGCUGGGCUGGGUGAUGUCCUAAUAGCUGGGCUGGGUGAUGUAAUAAUAGCUGGGCUGGGUGAUGUCCUAAUAGCUGGGCUGGGUGAUGUAAUAAUAGCUGGUUUGGGUGAUGUCCUAAUAGCUGGGCUGGGUGAUGUAAUAAUAGCUGGUUUGGGUGAUGUCCUAAUAGCUGGGCUGGGUGAUGUCCUAAUAGCUGGGCUGGGUGAUGUCCUAAUAGCUGGGCUGUGUGAUGUCCUUCGGGUGCCGGACCAUUGUUGAUACACACUGGAAACUGUUGAGCUAAAAAAAAACAGCAACGUUGCAGUUCUUUACACAAACCGGUGCGCUUGGCACCUACUACCAUACCCC
This 1533-nucleotide long non-coding RNA is filed under the name Oncorhynchus mykiss (rainbow trout). RNAcentral describes it as "lncRNA (ENSOMYG00000063976.1)". Lineage: Eukaryota; Metazoa; Chordata; Actinopteri; Salmoniformes; Salmonidae. The record is from RNAcentral.